This is a small nucleolar RNA of Otolemur garnettii (small-eared galago), 83 nucleotides long. Lineage: Eukaryota; Metazoa; Chordata; Mammalia; Primates; Galagidae. The record is from Ensembl.
CUGAGUCUGUGAUGAUGUAGAGUUAUCCCUGUCUGAAGGCAAAUAAAGGCCUUCUGUGUGGAAUGUGGAUGUCUGAAACUCAG